GUCCACGCCGUAAACGGUGGGCGCUAGGUGUGGGGGACUUCCACGUCUUCUGUGCCGCAGCUAACGCAUUAAGCGCCCCGCCUGGGGAGUACGGCCGCAAGGCUAAAACUCAAAGGAAUUGACGGGGGCCCGCACAAGCGGCGGAGCAUGCUGAUUAAUUCGAUGCAACGCGAAGAACCUUACCAAGGCUUGACAUACAUCGGAAACUUCCAGAAAUGGUUGCCCCGCAAGGUCGGUGUACAGGUGGUGCAUGGUUGUCGU
This 261-nucleotide ribosomal RNA is filed under the name uncultured bacterium. Its description in RNAcentral is "partial 16S ribosomal RNA". It matches the Rfam family "Bacterial small subunit ribosomal RNA", at positions 793 to 1055 of the family's 1533-position model. The record is from RNAcentral.